GUGUUUGCCCUGGGUUCUUCUUCCUAUUAUUCCCCUACUUCUCUUACCUCCGUUAUGACGACCCACCCUCACCAUCGCCUGGGAAGAGAAAGUGUCAUCUUGUCUCCCCGCGUCAUCUUGUCUCCCAGUGUCCAGUAGGGCGGAGAGGGAGGCCCAGAGGCAGGAUGAAAAACCACAGUCUGAGAGCUUGUAGAGCGUGCCCGAGAGGCCUGGAGGAGACUUGGGACCUGUUUUCACAACUGCAGAGGUGAGGCACUUCCCGUUCCCUGCAUCCUUCCUGCCAGGGCUGGGAUGUGACCCCAGGGCCGUAGGCAGCCUGGAGCUGACCUGGGAUGGGGAGACCACAGGGACAGAGGAUGGGAGUAAAACCCUGGGGCGAGGGGUAGCAGGAGAAUUGGGCAGUCAGGAUGUGGGGUGGUGGAGGGGCUGUGACCCGAGCUCCCACUCUGGCCCCCGCCCCACCU
Non-coding RNA from Macaca mulatta (Rhesus monkey), 464 nucleotides. NCBI's taxonomy places the organism in Eukaryota, Metazoa, Chordata, Mammalia, Primates, Cercopithecidae. The record is from RefSeq and is a predicted model, not a curated record.